UACGUAGGUCCCGGGCGUUGUCCGGAUUUAUUGGGCGUAAAGCGAGCGCAGGUGGUUUAUUAAGUCUGGUGUAAAAGGCAGUGGCUCAACCAUUGUAUGCAUUGGAAACUGGUAGACUUGAGUGCAGGAGAGAAGAGUGGAAUUCCAUGUGUAGCGGUGAAAUGCGUAGAUAUAUGGAGGAACACCGGUGGCGAAAGCGGCUCUCUGGCCUGUAACUGACACUGAGGCUCGAAAGCGUGGGGAGCAAACAGG
This 252-nucleotide ribosomal RNA is filed under the name uncultured bacterium. RNAcentral's name for it is "partial 16S ribosomal RNA". It matches the Rfam family "Bacterial small subunit ribosomal RNA", at positions 524 to 776 of the family's 1533-position model. The record is from RNAcentral.